CCUACGGGAUGCUGCAGUGAGGAAUAUUGGUCAAUGGGCGGAAGCCUGAACCAGCCAAGUAGCGUGCAGGAUGAAGGCCCUACGGGUUGUAAAAUGCUUUUAUACAGGAAUAACGCGCCUUACGUGUAGGGCUUUGCAUGUACCGUAUGACUAAGGACCGGCUAAUUCCGUGCCAGCAGCCGCGGUAAUACGGAAGGUCCGGGCGUUAUCCGGAUUUAUUGGGUUUGAAGGGAGUGUAGAUGGGUUGGUAAGUCCGUGUUUAAAGUUUGCGGCUCAACCGUAAAAUUGCAAUUGAUACUGGCAGCCUUGAGUACAGUUAAGGUAGGCGGAAUUCGUGGUGUAGCGGUGAAAUGCUUAGAUAUCACGAAGAACUCCGAUUGCGAAGGCAGCCUACUAAACUGCCACUGACAUUGAUGCUCGAAAGUGUGGGUAUCAAACAGGAUUAGAUACCCUUGUAGUC
This 460-nucleotide ribosomal RNA is filed under the name uncultured bacterium. Its description in RNAcentral is "partial 16S ribosomal RNA". It matches the Rfam family "Bacterial small subunit ribosomal RNA", at positions 338 to 795 of the family's 1533-position model. The record is from RNAcentral.